RNAcentral lists this ribosomal RNA (497 nucleotides) under uncultured bacterium. RNAcentral's name for it is "partial 16S ribosomal RNA". It matches the Rfam family "Bacterial small subunit ribosomal RNA", at positions 28 to 507 of the family's 1533-position model. The record is from RNAcentral.
GAUGAACGCUGGCGGCGUGCCUAAUACAUGCAAGUCGAGCGAACGGACGAGAAGCUUGCUUCUCUGAUGUUAGCGGCGGACGGGUGAGUAACACGUGGAUAACCUACCUAUAAGACUGGGAUAACUUCGGGAAACCGUAGCUAAUACCGGAUAAUAUUUUGAACCGCAUGGUUCAAAAGUGAAAGACGGUCUUGCUGUCACUUAUAGAUGGAUCCGCGCUGCAUUAGCUAGUUGGUAAGGUAACGGCUUACCAAGGCAACGAUGCAUAGCCGACCUGAGGGGGUGAUCGGCCACACUGGAACUGAGACACGGUCCAGACUCCUACGGGAGGCAGCAGUAGGGAAUCUUCCGCAAUGGGCGAAAGCCUGACGGAGCAACGCCGCGUGAGUGAUGAAGGUCUUCGGAUCGAAAAACUCUGUUAUUAGGGAAGAACAUAUGUGUAAGUAACUGUGCACAUCUUGACGGUACCUAAUCAGAAAGCCACGGCUAACUACGUG